AUUGAACGCUGGAGGCAUGCCUUACACAUGCAAGUCGAACGGCAGCACGGGUGCUUGCACCUGGUGGCGAGUGGCGAACGGGUGAGUAAUACAUCGGAACAUGUCCUGUAGUGGGGGAUAGCCCGGCGAAAGCCGGAUUAAUACCGCAUACGAUCUACGGCUGAAAGCGUGGGACCUUCGGGCCUCGCGCUAUCGGGUUGGCCGAUGGCUGAUUAGCUAGUUGGUGGGGUAAAGGCCUACCAAGGCGACGAUCAGUAGCUGGUCUGAGAGGACGACCAGCCACACUGGGACUGAGAAACGGACCAGACUCCUACGGGAGGCAGCAGUGGGGAAUUUUGGACAAUGGGCGAAAGCCUGAUCCAGCAAUGCCGCGUGUGUGAAGAAGGCCUUCGGGUUGUAAAGCACUUUUGUCCGGAAAGAAAUCCUUGGCUCUAAUACAGUCGGGGGAUGACGGUACCGGAAGAAUAAGCACCGGCUAACUACGUG
RNAcentral lists this ribosomal RNA (486 nucleotides) under uncultured bacterium. RNAcentral's name for it is "partial 16S ribosomal RNA". It matches the Rfam family "Bacterial small subunit ribosomal RNA", at positions 30 to 507 of the family's 1533-position model. The record is from RNAcentral.